UCGAGGAUCUUCGGCAAUGGGCGCAAGCCUGACCGAGCGACGCCGCGUGUGCGAUGAAGGCCUUCGGGUUGUAAAGCACUGUCGAGGGGGAGGAAAGCCCGCAAGGGUCUGACCUAUCCCUGGAGGAAGCACGGGCUAAGUUCGUGCCAGCAGCCGCGGUAAGACGAACCGUGCAAACGUUGUUCGGAAUCACUGGGCUUAAAGGGCGCGUAGGCGGGUGGCCAAGUCAGGGGUGAAAUCCGGCAGCUUAACUGUCGAAUAGCUUCUGAUACUGGUCGUCUUGAGGGGGGUAGGGGCAUGUGGAACUUCCGGUGGAGCGGUGAAAUGCGUAGAUAUCGGAAGGAACGCCGGUGGCGAAAGCGACGUGCUGGACCCUUUCUGACGCUGAGGCGCGAAAGCCAGGGGAGCAAACGGGAUUAGAUACCCCCGUAGUCC
This 435-nucleotide ribosomal RNA is filed under the name uncultured bacterium. Its description in RNAcentral is "bacterial SSU rRNA". It matches the Rfam family "Bacterial small subunit ribosomal RNA", at positions 355 to 796 of the family's 1533-position model. The record is from RNAcentral.